AUAUAUAUAUAAAGGGCUGCCAUGGAGGAAACCAUGCUGGUGGAAACCACAGAGCCAAUUAGACGAGGUCAAAGUCUGGCUGUGUUUUGAAGGGAAAGCCCACUGUAAUUUACUGAUAAAUUAAAUGUAGGGUAUGAAAGAAGAAAGAAUCAAAGAUAUUUCCAAGAUUUUUUCGUGCAGAUGUUAAAAAAAAAAAGGCAUCAGUACGACUGAUAGUUUAAGGAGCAUCCUAUUCAGAAGUGCUUACAUUUCAAACCAGAAUGUACAAGCCCGACACCCUGGUCCUCACUAGGCCCCUCCAAAUUCUAUCUCCAACUAUGCUUUUCUCAUCUACUCAUACCAUUUGCUACAUCAUCUCUCAAUAUGCCUGUACUUUCCAAUUUUCCUGCCUUGCUCAUCCUAUACCUAAUCUGAGGUCUCCUUCAUCCAGCAAGCCCUGAUUCAAGUAAUCUCCUUCAAGAAACCUUUCCUGAUCCCCUAAAUCAAAAAUCAAUCUCAUCCAUAUUUGCAGUUCAGUCGUAUGCGUCUCGGAAAUUGCACUUAACCUAGGCUGGGUAGCAUUAAAGGUAUCUUGUUUAUAACCAUUCACAGCCCCUAUCUGAUCACCAGUCUCAACCUGGACUGUGACUGCCCCACAAAUAGGACCUACGUGUUGUUUGAUUGGUCUCAGGUUCCUCCAAAAUGACUACUCUGGUGUCUGACAGGAAGCAGCCGCUCUUUAAAUGUGUAUUGAGAGAAUACUAGAGCUACACACAUUUCAAAGGUCAGCUUCCUCGCCCGCCACAGGUAUCUGCCCUGUACAGGGCGGGGCUCCAAUGCUCUGGUAGAAAGGAAGAUACUUGAUGCGUCAUAAAGGAUCCUGGCAGUCGGAAGCCCACCGUAACUAAAUGUUUGCCUCUGCAGCCUCUCGCAGGGUUAGAAGGUGACUUUACAUCAGCUGACUUGGGGCACACUUUGGCAGACGGGUUGGAAAAAAACACGCAGAGAUCAACCGCGCUUAACGUGGUGCGCGGCAGAAUACCCUCCCCCAGCCGGGCGCGGCCCCGAGGCGCACAGACCGCCCUGAGCCCUGUCUCAGACAAGCCCCAGCGCGCUGGGAGAGCGUGGGACGCCAGAGACGCGCAGGCGCCAACUCGCUGCGCGCGCUCUGGCCGCGCGUCCGGGGCAGCUCGGCCAAUCGCAGGGCUGCCGCACCUUCCCGCCUACCAGAGGCGAGCAGCCGAGGGGGCUCGGCCCAAGCCGCGCUCCCACUGGCUGAGACGGCACCGCCCAGACCCAGCUGUGCUCUGCCGGCGCCAGCGGGCUACUGAGGCUCCGGGCCUUGCCCCGCCCGGGCCCACCACCACCCCAGCAUCUCCCGCCGGCUCCCGCGGCGCCUCCACCUUGCUCGGUCCUCCUCCUCCCUCGGUCCUGCGGCCUGUGCGGUCCUCCUCCAACAGCCGGCUCAGCUCGUGCUCGAGGAAGCUGGACUGGCGGCCCGACUGCUGUCCAGCAUCCUUCCCGAGGGUGCCGCAGAAAGGGAGGAAGCACUCCCACCACCAGCAAGUCCCCGAGAACAGAGCCUGGGCCCAGCCUACAGGAUGUGGUGCCCCUUCUCCACCCGCAUCCCCGCGACCCGGCUUAAGGGCAGAGCAAAUCCAAACCAAGCCAAUCAUCAUGCCGGUUUAAGGGCGCCCGCUCAUCACCCCUGAACUGCAGAGCCCUAAACCACGCUCAGAUCUCCUCCACCGCCAUCCUGGUUCUGGAGCGAGCGGGGAAAGACCACCCAGCGGGUAUGUAUGGGUAGGAAGGCGAAGAUGCCGCCCCAGGAAGUGAGGAAAGCUGGUAAGAUUGAGGCGCCUUCCAGGACGUAUGCCUAUUUACUGUCUCGAGCUCAUUGAG
Molecule: long non-coding RNA, 1881 nt
Organism: Bos grunniens (domestic yak)
Lineage: Eukaryota; Metazoa; Chordata; Mammalia; Artiodactyla; Bovidae
Source: Ensembl